UCAUUUUGCACGAAAUUGCUACAAGGCCAAGAAAAGAGAUAGAGAAAAUGCUAACAAUGCAUGUGAUGAAGUUGGUGGAGAUGAUUAUGCAUUCAUGGCAAGUGAAGGCACGUCUAUGGCUGCCAUGUCCAAAUGGAUCAUUGAUUCGGGUGCUACCAAGCACAUGACUCCAUACAAGUGUUCAUUUGACACUUAUGAGACUAUUCCAAC
RNAcentral lists this long non-coding RNA (210 nucleotides) under Physcomitrium patens. RNAcentral's name for it is "long non-coding RNA (PPAT_LNC014078)". Lineage: Eukaryota; Viridiplantae; Streptophyta; Bryopsida; Funariales; Funariaceae. The record is from RNAcentral.